Molecule: ribosomal RNA, 257 nt
Filed under: uncultured prokaryote
Description: partial 16S ribosomal RNA
Rfam family: Bacterial small subunit ribosomal RNA
Source: RNAcentral
UACGGAGGAUGCAAGCGUUAUCCGGAUUUAUUGGGUUUAAAGGGUGCGCAGGUUGUUUGAUAAGUCAGUGGUGAAAGUCUGUCGCUUAACGGUAGGAUUGCCAUUGAUACUGUUGGACUUGAAUAUGGAUGAGGUAGGCGGAAUGUGUAGUGUAGCGGUGAAAUGCAUAGAUAUUACACAGAACACCGAUUGCGAAGGCAGCUUACUAAUCCAUCAUUGACGCUGAGGCACGAAAGCGUGGGGAUCAAACAGGAUUA